UACGUAGGUGGCGAGCGUUAUCCGGAUUUAUUGGGCGUAAAGCGUCCGCAGCCGGUUUAUUAAGUCUAGAAUUAAAGCCUGGAGCUCAACUCCAGUUCGUUUUAGAGACUGAUAGACUCGAGUGUGGUAGAGGCAAACGGAAUUUCUAGUGUAGCGGUAGAAUGCGUAGAUAUUAGAAGGAACACCAGUGGCGAAGGCGGUUUGCUAGGCCACCACUGACGGUCAUGGACGAAAGCGUGGGGAGCAAAUAGG
Molecule: ribosomal RNA, 252 nt
Filed under: uncultured bacterium
Lineage: Bacteria
Description: partial 16S ribosomal RNA
Rfam family: Bacterial small subunit ribosomal RNA
Source: RNAcentral